RNAcentral lists this non-coding RNA (85 nucleotides) under Thalassovita taeanensis. RNAcentral describes it as "Litorimicrobium taeanense Glycine sequence". It matches the Rfam family "Glycine riboswitch aptamer". Rfam says of the family: This family represents the bacterial glycine riboswitch. Lineage: Bacteria; Pseudomonadati; Pseudomonadota; Alphaproteobacteria; Rhodobacterales; Roseobacteraceae. The record is from Rfam by way of RNAcentral.
UUCAACAGAUCGGGAGAACUGGGAAACCAGUGCCGAAGGAGCAACCGCCCCGGAAACUCUCAGGCCCAAGGACCGAUCAGGGACA